AUGAACUUAUUGUUUGUUUGUUUUCACAAAGGAAGAAAUGUUGUGAAUUCAAGACAGAGCAUUGUUUCCUGCCAGAGUCUUUCUGGAAAAGGCAGUAGUGCUAAGGCAGGGUUUCUCUCAGAAAUACAGCGAGCCCUGAAGGAUUUCUAUUGGGAAGAUUUCAACAACUUUUUAGCAAACAAUGUUCACAUAAACCUGAAAUGAAGAGCCAAAGAGGAUGUGGUCUUUCAGCACCUCCAGCUAAAAAAUGCUGCAGAGGAACUUCCCGUAUUAAGGUAAAUGAACAAAUAAAUCUUCCUGUGGAGACACAAGUUUUCUGAACUGAUUUUAUUUGCAACACAGUUAUUCAAGUAUGGACUGGGAACAGGAAUGGGAGGGAGUGGGGAGCAAAAGAGGGAAGAUAUAAAAGUGUUGUACUUUUGAACUGGCUCUCCAGAAAUAAAGAAAAAGCCUUGAUAUGUAUGUCGAUUUCUGUGGUGUCCAUACUGUCACUAUGGCUCACUUCAAUCUUCUGAUUUGAUACCACUAACAAGGUGUUGCGAAGACAUGGGCAAAAUCAAUUCUUGUAGGUCAGUGAGAUCCACUCCAGAAGACAAAUCCCUGGAUGUAAACUUUCUUUGGUCUGACUGAUGCUUCCUUGUGGAGGUACCAGAACAGACCUUUGGUUUAAAAUGCAUCUCAAAUGUGAAAUCAGGUUCUUUUCUUUGCUUGAAGCACCUGCAAUAAUAUGCAGAGAUUGGAUUUCAGGUCCCACAUGCUCUUGAGUUAAUUUUGCUGGAUUAAAGGGUGUGCAGGCCCUUCUGAGUUAGGGCUGGCUAGGGUUUUGUGAACUCCAGCUGAGAUUCUGGCAUCUUCCUCAUCAAGUUUGGUAUUAACAGCUGCCACCUUCAGAAGACUGGUAGAGGUUCAAGGUUAGGCAAAAGCACAGAAAUUACAAAAACUGACACCUUUUAUCAAGGGCUACUUAAAAAUAUUGUCUGUUUUUGAAAAAAUGUGGGUAAAGAAAUGUUUUCAACAAAAGUUUGAUUGGUGGGUACGUAUCAUCUAUUUAUAUAUUAACAGCACAUGUAACUUGCAGCAUAAAUAUUUUAAAUAAAUUGAUAUACACAAUUCUUCCCUCCCUUCCUCCUUUCUUCCCUCCUUCCUUCCCUUCCUUUCCUCUCUCUCUCCUUGCUUCCUUCCUUUCUUCCUUCCUUCAUUCCCUCUCUCUCUCUUUUCUUCCUUCCUUCCUUCCUUCCCUCUCUCUCUCUCUCCUUCCUUCCUUCCUGUUGAGUAGUUAUAAGGUUCUAGGCAUGUAACUUAAUGUACACUUACUCUAGUAAAGCAAUUAAUAAGACAAAACUUGUACAUUGAAGGAGCUCAUAGUCAGGAAGAAGGAGACAGUUGCGUAAACACCUACUGAAGAAUGUUUCAGGGAUUGAGAUAAGAAGCUAAGCUGGGUAGCAAGCAAAAGCAUGAAAGCAGGACUGUUAAUUCUGGCUGGGUGAAGGGCCAAGGUGGAGAUCAAGGCUGAAUUUGUAAAGUCAUAACAGAGGAAUUUAAAAGGUGAGAAGCCUGAUAAUCAAGGCUAUGGGACGUGAAGGCAGUGUGAGAAGGGGUGGGUGGAAGCUUACUGACUGGUCAAGGCAGUGCAAGAAGUUUAACCUGUCUGGAAAUAUGCAGACAAGAACUGGAAAGGGCAGUCUGUGCAUGAAGAUUCCAGGAGAAGCCUGAUGAUGGAAAAACCUUAAAAUCACAUCGAGGUUUAUUUUAUAGUACUACUGUUGAAGAACCAUUUUGGGUUUUUAAUUGGGGAAUGAUACGAACAUUUCCGGGGUUGUUGCUCUGUUUUGUUUUUAAGGAUCAGUACAAACUAGCUGCAUGAAGAAUGGAUGGGAGAAUAAGAAGCUAUGGCAAUAACGACAGUUAGAAUAUAUCAAUGGGCAUGGAAGAGGCUGUUGACCUGGGGAGAGUACCAGUAAAGAUGGCCUAUGCAGGGGAAAGAACUCGGGGAUUUUAUAAAGUUAGAAUUGUCAGGACUUUGUCUUCAUUUCAGGCAGGGUGAAGGAAUGGUUUAAGUUGCCUCCAAGGUAUUUUGUUGGGGGUGAGGGGUACAGAGGGGUCUUACUGAAUGGUGAUGAAAAAGGGACACAAGCGAAGGAUCAACAUUGGAGAAAAGAUAACCAAACCCUGGGAAGCUUAAGGAACAAAAUGUAACAAAACAACAGGGAUUGUUUUAUAAAAUACUUUGAGAUAUCCAGGAUCAAAGAUAUGAUAAAAACUAACAUCGUGUAUUCUUGCAGUAACUUUUAAUUUACAAAAACAGUCCCAUACAUUAUCUCACUUGACUCUGACCCUUAUGCACUAUGUAAGAAGGGCAGGGCAAGCACCAGAAACCCAGGGUUACAAAAUGUAGUGAUUGGGUCUCAGAGGGAUUGCAAGGCAUGCUCAAAAUCCCACAACUGCGCUGAAAUAGGACAAAGAGAAAUAUGGUCACUCAGUGCUUAGAACUCGGAGGGAUCGUGAGGCAUGCUCGAAAUCCCACAACUGAACAGAAAUAGGACAAAGAGAAAUAUGUUUGCUCAGUCCUAGGUGCAAUGCUCAUGACAAGAAUGGGAGGACAGACGGAACCCCUUUAGAGCUUGAUUUUCCUUCCCUGUUGGAAUAUUUCUGCCUUUGGCACUGGAUACGAUACCUCCAGUAUCUGGCUUUGUUGAGUAGUUUCUUGAUGAGAUCCCCAGUCGUAUCAGUGGAGACAUGUGGGUCUUAUAUGUGUUGCCUAAAGUUAUGUCCAAACUGUUGAGGCCUUGAUGUUCCUGGAGCUUGAAUGACCCAUCACCUUGGAGGGUUCUGAAGUACUGAUCAUUUCACUGGUCAUCCUAAAACCUGAAACUGAAGACAGGGAGGCAAAAAUAUACUGUCAUCUUUUCCUUUCUGUGAAAAACAGAAAGAAAAACACAGUAAACCUGCCAUUUCCCUCAGGUCAAGUGACAGGCACUGACCCUUGAAUUUUCCAUUCAGAGAGCUCCAAAGUAAACACAGAAUCACGUAAGCCUGAAGAAAAGAAGCCAAAUUAGGAACAUCACACUUCCUCUCUCCCAGAGAAGACCAGUUUUUC
This 3097-nucleotide long non-coding RNA is filed under the name Macaca mulatta (Rhesus monkey). RNAcentral describes it as "lncRNA (ENSMMUG00000051108.1)". The record is from RNAcentral. Lineage: Eukaryota; Metazoa; Chordata; Mammalia; Primates; Cercopithecidae.